UGCCAGACCGUUUACAAGUUGUGUG
Molecule: non-coding RNA, 25 nt
Filed under: Rattus norvegicus (Norway rat)
Lineage: Eukaryota; Metazoa; Chordata; Mammalia; Rodentia; Muridae
Source: RNAcentral